Xenopus laevis (African clawed frog) is the source of this 1529-nucleotide long non-coding RNA. RefSeq lists it as uncharacterized. The transcript is spliced from 3 exons. The record is from RefSeq and is a predicted model, not a curated record. Lineage: Eukaryota; Metazoa; Chordata; Amphibia; Anura; Pipidae.
GGAAAGGGGAGGGAGGCAACGCCUGGAAGCUUAGGGUAAGGGGGGUUAGAUCUCUUUUAAUCAUCAACAGAGGAAGAUAUGUUCAAUUUAGCUGAUGUUAGAUAAAUCUAAGAAAUGACAUACUGUAUCUGCAUUUAUUUUCUGGUGAAAGUGUCAGCAAUGAUUGAUCCAGGCACAAGUCUUAUUAUUGAUCCAGAGAGAAAUCUCAUUGUCAUUGUUGGAAUCAGAAAGGAAUUUAUUCCCUCCUAGUUUCUAAAUUGGCUAAAGCCUCAUUGGCUGGCUUUGUUUGCAUUCCUUUCCAUUCCAAUAAAUGUAUGGCCAAACUAGAUGCAAUAUUAGUGUUUGUAAAUUACAGGCUAACUUGCUCUGCUCUGGAUCAUCAGUCAAGAUCAUGCUACAGCAGAUGUACAUCCCUGGAAAAUCAAUGCAAAGUGUGUGGUUGGGAUAAGGCUGAAACAAGCAUCUCAGGCAUUAUAUAUCUAAUUCAGUGGUUCAAGGAAAACAACAGACCAAAAAUGUGACAUUUGAUAAAGAUUUUUUCGCUGGCUUUUGGAUUUGAUAAGAAAGUUUUUUUACCACCAAAAAUGUAAUAGACAUUUGUGUACGCGCACUUUGUUUAUAAGGCGCAGGUGAGGUAGGCACUUAGGCUAGUGAUGUGCGGGUUGACAAAAAGUCAACCCAAACCUGCCCAAUCCCAACCCACACAUGGCCGACACUUCUCUUUAUAAACCCCCACCUGACCUGCCCAUCUCUAAAGUCAUGAAAGGGGGCAGGUCCAGGGGGUUUUGGACCAGCCCACAUAUUACUAACGUAGGAAUCCAGAGCUGUCAACUCCCCUAUAGUUACACUGUGUCCCUCGGUCUCCCAUCACUUUUACUCACUUUCAAAUUUAUGAUGAUUUUGCAGGAUUACAGGCAAAAAUCCGAUGUGGGCAUGUGCAUACUGCUUCAGUGAAGUCAAUGGAUUGAUUUAUGCGGCUCCAGGAGAGGUUCUGUGCAUGUGAGCCUCUGAGGAGAACGGUUUCCAAAACCACAGCGUCUGGACUUUGCCUUUUGACCCAAUCAGGGAUUCGAGGAGAGAGGGGAGAACCAGGAAGUGAGACACUAGUGUGGGUGAGAGGAACGAGAGGCAAUAGUGGAACCGCAAGCAGGAUCGUGCGGCCAAUGUGAGACACACUUGAGAUUGUGACCGGAGGAUCCAAAGUACUUGCUAUUCUGAUGGCACACAUGAGGGAGAAGGGAGAUGGCUGAGACACAUUGUAGAAGAGAGGAGAGAGGAUUGGAAGGGCACGACACACAGAAGAUUAAUAUUACUGAAAUGGGAGCACAAUGCCAAUUACAGCUAAGUUUUCAUAUGCAAUGUACUUGGGAGCCUGCAAAGGAUAUUUGUAAAUGUAGAAAAAAAAAAAAUCCAGCAAAGCCACAAUACUAGCUUCAAUUCCAUUAAACAGAUAUUACUUUUUUUUUUAUCACAGAAAAUUUAUUUUGGUUAUCCUAUUGUGAAUAAGCUGUUAUUUUUCAUACAUUGUG